This 756-nucleotide long non-coding RNA is filed under the name Mytilus galloprovincialis (Mediterranean mussel). The record is from RNAcentral. Lineage: Eukaryota; Metazoa; Mollusca; Bivalvia; Mytilida; Mytilidae.
GUGUUGGUCAGUUUCCAGUUUUCUAUAUAGUGUUUAUCGUAAUUUUUUCGUUUUUAUUCAUGGUGUUGUCAGUUUCUAUACAAUUUGAGGGUUUUGAAUUGCAAAACGUAAGUUUGGAACUAAUUUCGUUUUUUUUCAAAAAUUGAAAGGGGAUUUGAAUUAUAGUAUUCAUGAAGACUCUGCAUUAAAUUAUGAAAAUCAGACGAGGCCAUCUUGACUUGUGGUACGACAUAGAAGUGCAGCCAAAACGGACAGACAAACAUAUAACUGUCAGACAAACAUAUAAAUUACUAAACGUACACCAUCGACUAGUUUCAGCGGAACCCUUGUUAAAACGAAAUUUACAAAGACGAAGUUGUUGUAUGGUUGUCUUUCUGUCUAUGUUUAUCGAAACUUACACGUGUGAAGUUUUUUUGGUUUAUUUUCGACGAAGGUUUUGUGUUUAAUACCGUACAGCCAUGUAGGUUUUGUUUGCAAUGUUGCAUGUAGUGUUGAAGACAUAUCAAGAAUAAAAAGCUGCGCCAUGAGCGCAUGAUACGCCCGACGUCUUAUGUGGAAGUCUAAUGCAAUAAUCAUAAAUAGUCUCUGAGAAAAUUUUAAGCAAUAACCAUAUAUUGUUUUAGAGACACGGCGGGACAUGUGAAACCCCCCACCCUUUUUUUUUUUUUUUUACAAAAAACUAAAUAUUACCAAAAUAAAAUUUUGAAUCAAAACCAAAAAGUAUACAGAUCUUUAGAUUAGUAUAACAAGGAAGUG